UCACCUCACUCAACCCAGCUGGAGUCAAUAUUUGCAUGGCCCUCCAUACCCAAAAUACAGGAGGGCUGAGGGCAUUGGCUUAUGUAUGAUACCAUUCAUUUACAUGCGCCAGUAGCAUUUCCACCGAGCAACAACCUAAUCACUCUGGAUGGAUGUUGCUUGGAGAUUUGGGAUCACUUUGGAUGAGUUGAGAUUUUAUUGAUAAAACUUGAAAACAUUAUUAUGCACUAAGAAACAUGGCAAUAUAUGCUAGAUCAUGGAUCAUGGAUCAUGGAUCACAGAUCUUCCUUCAGUUGCGCGAGGCAGUUAUGGGACCAGUACAUGCAAUCAGUGUGCAAAUGGGAUGAGUGAUGCAUCUCAUUUGUAGCAGCCCAUCUGUUGAUUCCUUGUAUAUAGUUUUUCCAGGUCAGCAAUGAGGCGCUUGUGCCAAAACUGCGCGUGGAUCCUAGCAGGGGCACACUUGAAUGUGGUGCUAAAAAAGUUCAUUGUGAAAAAUCAUCAUUAAGAGUGUGUAUGCUAGCUGUAGAUGAAUGAGUGAAGAA
Molecule: small RNA, 542 nt
Filed under: Histoplasma capsulatum var. duboisii H88
Lineage: Eukaryota; Fungi; Ascomycota; Eurotiomycetes; Onygenales; Ajellomycetaceae
Description: Histoplasma capsulatum H88 hypothetical RNA
Source: RNAcentral